CAAAAUCAAUGUCCCAGCUGUUUCAAAUUAAAGCUCAGAAAAAUGCAAUGAAAUGGAUUCUCAUAAACAUGCCCGUACCGAGAAAUCAGUCCAACCGAUCGAUUCAUUCCAGAAGGGAAAUUAGGGUUUGCAAAUUUGGUGCGGUUCCGGUGUUACUUCACCUGUGCAAGAUUGUGGUGUGUACGUAUAUCAUGGAUUGUAGUGCGGAUAUUGAAGAAUUGCGGAUGGAAAUUGAAGUACAAAGAAGAUUGAGUGACCAAGUUGAGGUAAUCUUCCUAACAUCUUUCUGAUACAGGCUUUUGAAUGAAUGAGUUUCUAGCUGACAUGGUUCAUGAGCUUCUUAUAACAUUUGGGUUUUUUGGAGGCACUGAAAUGUAAAUGAAAAGGAGACUAUCAAUGCACCAAACUCUAAUAUCAACCGAGAAUAAGAUGAAGUCAAGGAUUUUGAGUAGCUGGAAACUGAAUUUUGAGGAUCGGGUAUUUGAAUUUUGUGAUAUUCCAUAUUUAAUAUUCCUAUAAGAAUUCUUCUACUGAAUUCUUAUGAUCAGUCACAUCAUUUCUGUGUCGUUAAAAUCAUAGUAGGUUUGAAUCUGAUCAAUGCUGCAGGUGCAUUUUUAAUCUGCAUAUAUAUUUAAACUACAACAAAGACUCACCGGAAUACACUAAUACGUGAGAUUGAACUAUAAACCUACCCUGUCGUUUAUUCUUCAAUUUAUUUCUUAUUGUUUGGAUUGGCAGUAUAUAUGUGUGAAAAGUGAAUGGAAGUGACAGGGAAUCAAAAAGCUAUUGAAACAAACUACAUUAAUGAAGAGAGUUACAACUUGAUAAUCUGAUUCGUGAUUUUCACUAUAUUGCUUAUAUUGGGCAUAGAGAGAGAUUCAUCUGCUUUUUCAAUGGGUUCCAAUACAGUUGUUGUCCAAUUUACAGUACAUUUUUUAAGGGUUUGGGUAAGACCGUGCAUCCUUAUUAUAGUAUUAUAAUUUGAAAAAUUACUCACUUGAGCAUGCCUAUGUGAUCCACUGGCAGAUAACAUGUAGCGUUUUCUUUUAUAGUUUCACUCUCUUCUUGUUUUCUUGCAGGGAAGGUUCCCCUAAUAUACACCUAUAAAUUUUGAGAUGACAUGUGAUAGAAGAUCAUUAAGGAUCUCCUUUUACCUUCCGGUUUGGUAAGACUUAAAAACCCCUUUAUCAAGUUGUAAGUUACUUGAAUAUUGUAUACUUACAUAUGUACAAUUACUAUUGACAAAUGCACAUUCAUUGUCUAUUGAUAUGCUUAAGACACCAUGCAUACAGGUCUGUGCAGCAACGACAGCGCACCUGGAUUCAAGUCCAGAAGGAUGUGUGUUUGAUUCAUGCCAUACUGCUCUACAUUUCUGUUUUUGCUGAUAUGGAAAUCUAAAGAACUAUCAUGAUUCAUCUAUACUUGAAAUUGUAUCAUAUAACAUUAUUUCAUCAGCUCGCUUUGAUCGGUUCGUUUCUUCGCAAUUAUUUUAUCAACGUAAUUAAUUUUUGAUGUACUCUUGCUUUUGGAUUUGAUUAAAAAUAUUGUCUAAUGGGUUAUCAUUACUGAGUAACAUGGAAUUCCUGCGGUGUAUGCUAUUCAAGUUACUACAAACUUAAACUACUAACAUUUUCUUUUAGUGUUGUUCACGGUUUCGUAAAUACUAUUCAGCCUUCCUGCUUUCACCAAUCAGGUAGUGUUAUGUCAUUUCUGUUUAACGUGGUUGAUUGGCGUGUUCUAAUUUAUCCAAAUAUCCUGGUGUUAUGUCAUUUCUAUCAACAUGGUUGAUUGGCGUGUUCUAAUUUAUUCAAAUACCAUCCAAAUAUAGGAAACUCAAUGAGAAAUAUUUCCAGCUGCUAACCCCAAACAAGGCAAUCCUCCACGUUAAUUAGUAUCUUCCAUUUUUUUCUUAAUAAGUGGUUCUAUUCAAAUCUUCUGAACUUUUUCUUUUUUCUGACAGGAAAUGAAGAUGGCUCCUAAAAUUACAUUAGUUACUGUAGGAUAUCCAAAAUCAUUGUCUAAUAGACUCUUGACCAACUGUUCGGUGGAGAGGAAUAAAAAAAUCCCGACGAAUUGGGAAUGUUCUGAUAGACUACAUCUCCACCAACAAAGUUAUCAUCGUGGAUGUGGGAAGGCUCAGUCAAAAGAGUUAAAGAUGGUCUUCCAGAUUACAUGAAGUCCCGACCUCUAAUAGACUCUCAACUAGCUAUUUGAUGGGGAGGAAUGGAAACCAUGAAACAAGUCCAAUGCGAGUUUCUAAAUAUAGGGAAGAGAUUAACUUCGUCUCCCCUAAGGGAGUUACCAUCCUGGAUGCGGUCUCCACCAGCGAAGUCACCUCCAACGAAUUCAAUAAUUUUUCUUGCAAGGGUUGUAAAUAAAACUUAUCCAAAAAUGUAAGAGUUUAAGACAAUAAAUUGUGGUCGCCAAUGUUGUUAUGCUUUCGUGGCAUAAUUUUUUUUAUUUUUUUUUAGAAAUUAGAACUAAAAAUGUUAAGGAAUUUUGACAGUUCUAAAAA
Molecule: long non-coding RNA, 2515 nt
Organism: Papaver somniferum (opium poppy)
Lineage: Eukaryota; Viridiplantae; Streptophyta; Magnoliopsida; Ranunculales; Papaveraceae
Exons: 4
Source: RefSeq, a predicted model, not a curated record